This is a long non-coding RNA of Prinia subflava (tawny-flanked prinia), 2143 nucleotides long. RefSeq lists it as uncharacterized. Lineage: Eukaryota; Metazoa; Chordata; Aves; Passeriformes; Cisticolidae. The transcript is spliced from 3 exons. The record is from RefSeq and is a predicted model, not a curated record.
GGAAAGAUGUGAACCUAUCACUGAAAGCAAAAGCACUUGCCGCCUGCCUCGCUCGCUCGCUCUCUCUCUCAAUUUAUGUGCUUUGCACUCUCUCCUGCUGCUGAAUAAAUGCACACAUUUCCCAGGGACCCUCAGAUUCCCCUGUUAAUUAAAUCAAUUCAUUAUGCUCAGAUCUGAUUAGCAGCCCCUUCCCCCCCUCUUUGAAUCAAUUAUUCAAUACACAAACAUAAUUGCCUGUGCCAGAGGUGUCUAAGUAUUAGCUUAUUUAACUCCAAGGACACUAAUUACCCCUAGGGCAAGGGAACUUUUCUCAUUAAUUCUGACAAAACACAAAAGCACAGUUAAAGUGUGUGUGUAUAUACGUAUGUGAGAGAGAAGAUGGGGGAGCGCAUAGCAGAGGAAGGGAAGCAUUACUCUAACACACGUGUUACUGUAUAAAUAAGUUCAAUUUUCUUUCCAGCUUUGCAUUAGAUUUUCCCCCACAUCUUGCCUUUGCUAAACUUGCCCCGUCUACCUCUCUGUUUUUAACAUAAAGAACAGAUUGGCAUUGCAGUGAUGUCAGUUCUGGAGUGAAAGUGCUCUCAUCCAAAACUAAAAAGAAAAAUGUAUAUGGGACUGAUAGGGAGCUAAACAGAAUUUGAAAAUAGUUUAUUAAAGCAGAAAACUCUGUGGCAGACAAUCUUCUGUGAAAGGCGUAGCCCGCUGAAGCAGCAGGUAAGAUGAUACAUAAUCUAGUAUGUACUGGGAACAGUUCUGAAUUGUUUACCAUUUGAAUUAAUGUCAGUGCCCACUAUUAAUGUACUUGCUUCCUACGUUUACCAUAAUGGGUCUGAUUUCCAUUAGCUGAAACUGGAAUGCUAAAAAGAGCCCGGGCAAGACUGAUGCAAACCGAGAUCGACCAUCAUUGUGGUGUCUGAGACGCAUGACUUCUGGCUGGCGUGUUACCCAAGUUUUACCUCUCUGUGAACUUCCUUUAAACAAAAAAAAAAAAAUAAGAGUAGGAAAAAAGAAGUAGUAAUUGAUUCCCCCAAAUUAGGUUUUUACUUUCUAAAGACCUACUGUAUUGUUCAUGUCCUCAAUGUGCACAGAACUAUUGAAGAUUUUCUUUUUGUUUCCUUAGGCAAUGCAUGAGCUGAUCCAUUAAUCCAUUUGGCUUUAUAUAUCAGGAAAGUAAUAUUAGCUCAGCUCAUCUAUCAGCUUUUAUUUAGGUCCCACCAUGUUGCCUUUUUUUGGACUUCAGGCUGGUUCCCCUUGAGGGGAGACAGACAACUUUUGAUAGAUUUUAGGGGGGAUAAUGCUGCACAUCAUCUCAUGGGAACUGUCACGUCCUCAGUUCCCCAUCUUCACAUUCACCCCUGUCAAGAUACCCAUUAUUAAACUUGCAGUUUGGCAAUUCUACCCACUCUCUUUAAGGCACACCUUGCACAUAUCACCUAUAGCAAAGGGGGUCAAAAACCCCACAAGCACCUCCUCUUCACCCCUACAAAAAACCAAAACAAACCUGUAGCUAAGACUGCUUGGCAACAAAAAAUAAAUAUGACUGGGAACAUAAAGUUGUGUUUCAUUAGUGCAGUAUGUUUUUCUGUGAGUACACACAUACAAGGAUAAAAAUGCUUUCAGCUUUGUAACACAAUAAACCCUGUUAAUUCUCUGUUUUUUAAUUUCCACUGUGUGGCACAUACUGCACCCACAGGAACUUGGUCCCUCUAACUCCAUGAAUCUUUUUUUUUUUUCCUCCUUUGAAAGAACACAGCAGCACUUGAAAAAUACUGACCCUGGAGAACAUCAUGCAUCAGCUCAUUUCUGAGCAUGCUUUUGGUCCUUGAGCUCAUUCCUUUUCUCACUGUGGCCAAGGAGACUUAUGGGUGCAAAGCCAGAAUUUCAAGAUCUCGCUGACAGGAUUAAAAAAAUUUCAAAAUAAAACUGAAGGUGAUUAAGUCACGUGUGCCAGUCAGAAUCCCACGGUGAAGCAGCACCAGGCCAUACCGAAGAAUACCUUGCACAUGAAUCACUUGCACCUACCUUGCUGGUGUCAGAAGAGAGUGACCAUGGACCUGACCUCAUACCACAAUUCAGCAGCCCUGUAAAGGAGGAAAAUCACAAGUGCUCUGAAAAGUUAUGUUCACACAGAACACGGGUGGCA